This 73-nucleotide transfer RNA is filed under the name Bacteriophage sp. Its description in RNAcentral is "tRNA-Lys". It matches the Rfam family "tRNA". Rfam says of the family: Transfer RNA (tRNA) molecules are approximately 80 nucleotides in length. Their secondary structure includes four short double-helical elements and three loops (D, anti-codon, and T loops). The record is from RNAcentral.
GCGCUUAUAGCUCAGUUGGCAGAGCACAGCACUUUUAAUGCUGGGGUCCUGAGUUCGAGUCUCAGUGGGCGCA